This 239-nucleotide long non-coding RNA is filed under the name Capsicum annuum. RNAcentral's name for it is "long non-coding RNA (CANN_LNC010982)". The record is from RNAcentral. Lineage: Eukaryota; Viridiplantae; Streptophyta; Magnoliopsida; Solanales; Solanaceae.
UGUAAUUUCUGAAUAAUAGUAAUAAUAAAAUAUGGAAAAUGGGCUGAUAUUGCCAUAAGGUUAACAUUUGAACAUCAAAUACUGAUAAUGGAAAAAUUGAAAUCUAAAUAUCUGUUUGAAAUAAUCUAGUCUGAUAAGCCUCUAACUGAACUGUCUGAAAAUAGAGUUGAUGGGACAAGUCCCCAACUAACCCUGACUACUGAAAUAAACUGAAUAUUGAAAUACUGAAAUUAUAUGAU